RNAcentral lists this ribosomal RNA (449 nucleotides) under uncultured bacterium. RNAcentral's name for it is "partial 16S ribosomal RNA". It matches the Rfam family "Bacterial small subunit ribosomal RNA", at positions 29 to 523 of the family's 1533-position model. The record is from RNAcentral.
AACGAACGCUGGCGGCAGGCUUAACACAUGCAAGUCGAGCGAGAUCUUCGGGUCUAGCGGCGGACGGGUGAGUAACGCGUGGGAACGUGCCCUUUUCUGCGGAAUAGCCUCGGGAAACUGAGAGUAAUACCGCAUACGCCCUAUUGGGGAAAGAUUUAUCGGAGAAGGAUCGGCCCGCGUUGGAUUAGGUAGUUGGUGGGGUAAAGGCCUACCAAGCCGACGAUCCAUAGCUGGUUUGAGAGGAUGAUCAGCCACACUGGGACUGAGACACGGCCCAGACUCCUACGGGAGGCAGCAGUGGGGAAUCUUAGACAAUGGGGGCAACCCUGAUCUAGCCAUGCCGCGUGAGUGAUGAAGGCCUUAGGGUUGUAAAGCUCUUUCAGCUGGGAAGAUAAUGACGGUACCAGCAGAAGAAGCCCCGGCUAACUCCGUGCCAGCCGCCGCCGUAA